Molecule: regulatory RNA element, 58 nt
Organism: Micromonospora nigra
Lineage: Bacteria; Bacillati; Actinomycetota; Actinomycetes; Micromonosporales; Micromonosporaceae
Rfam family: L31-Actinobacteria ribosomal protein leader
Source: Rfam
CCGGUUCCGGUUCACGCCCACAUCGGCGCGUACGACGCGACGGGGCGACCCGGCGACC